Molecule: ribosomal RNA, 465 nt
Filed under: Vreelandella stevensii
Lineage: Bacteria; Pseudomonadati; Pseudomonadota; Gammaproteobacteria; Oceanospirillales; Halomonadaceae
Description: partial 16S ribosomal RNA
Rfam family: Bacterial small subunit ribosomal RNA
Source: RNAcentral
CCUACGGGGGACUGCAGUGGGGAAUAUUGGACAAUGGGGGCAACCCUGAUCCAGCCAUGCCGCGUGUGUGAAGAAGGCCCUCGGGUUGUAAAGCACUUUCAGUGAGGAAGAACGCCUGGUGGUUAAUACCCAUCAGGAAAGACAUCACUCACAGAAGAAGCACCGGCUAACUCCGUGCCAGCAGCCGCGGUAAUACGGAGGGUGCGAGCGUUAAUCGGAAUUACUGGGCGUAAAGCGCGCGUAGGUGGCUUGAUAAGCCGGUUGUGAAAGCCCCGGGCUCAACCUGGGAACGGCAUCCGGAACUGUCAAGCUAGAGUGCAGGAGAGGAAGGUAGAAUUCCCGGUGUAGCGGUGAAAUGCGUAGAGAUCGGGAGGAAUACCAGUGGCGAAGGCGGCCUUCUGGACUGACACUGACACUGAGGUGCGAAAGCGUGGGUAGCAAACAGGAUUAGAUACCCCAGUAGUC